GAUGAACGCUGGCGGCGUGCCUAAUACAUGCAAGUCGAGCGAACGGACGAGAAGCUUGCUUCUCUGAUGUUAGCGGCGGACGGGUGAGUAACACGUGGAUAACCUACCUAUAAGACUGGGAUAACUUCGGGAAACCGGAGCUAAUACCGGAUAAUAUUUUGAACCGCAUGGUUCAAAAGUGAAAGACGGUCUUGCUGUCUCUUAUAGAUGGAUCCGCGCUGCAUUAGCUAGUUGGUAAGGUAACGGCUUACCAAGGCAACGAUGCAUAGCCGACCUGGGAGGGUGAUCGGCCACACUGGAACUGAGACACGGUCCAGACUCCUACGGGAGGCAGCAGUAGGGAAUCGUCCGCAAUGGGCGGAAGCCUGACGGAGCAACGCCGCGUGAGUGAUGAAGGUCUUCGGAUCGUAAUACUCUGUUAUUAGGGAAGAACAUAUGUGUAAGGAACUGUGCACAACGUGACGGUACCUAAUCAGAAAGCCACGGCUAACUACGUG
This 497-nucleotide ribosomal RNA is filed under the name uncultured bacterium. RNAcentral describes it as "partial 16S ribosomal RNA". It matches the Rfam family "Bacterial small subunit ribosomal RNA", at positions 28 to 507 of the family's 1533-position model. The record is from RNAcentral.